This 77-nucleotide transfer RNA is filed under the name Clostridium sp. CAG:273. RNAcentral's name for it is "transfer RNA-Arg(ACG)". It matches the Rfam family "tRNA". From Rfam's summary of the family: Transfer RNA (tRNA) molecules are approximately 80 nucleotides in length. Lineage: Bacteria; Bacillati; Bacillota; Clostridia; Eubacteriales; Clostridiaceae. RNAcentral also lists the same sequence under 1 other name. The record is from RNAcentral.
GCAGUUGUAGCUUAACUGGAUAGAGCAUUCGGCUACGAACCGAAAGGUUGGGGGUUCAAGUCCCUCCAGCUGCACCA